Molecule: long non-coding RNA, 2056 nt
Filed under: Homo sapiens (human)
Lineage: Eukaryota; Metazoa; Chordata; Mammalia; Primates; Hominidae
Description: HSALNT0156413
Source: RNAcentral
GUGAGCCAAGAUCGCACCACUGCACUCCAGCCUGGGGGACAGAGCGAGACCCUGUCUCAAAAACAAACAAACAAACAAACAAAAACAAAAAAAAACUGCUUUUCCCAACACUCUCCAUGAAUGAGCAGUAACAAUCUUUUUGGGUUUGGUUUUGUUUUCUGAGACAGGGUCUUCUAGGCUGGAGUGCGGUGGUGCAAGCGUAGCUCACUAUAGCCUCAAUUCCCUGGGCUCAAGCAAUCCUCCUGCCUCAGCCUCCUGAGUAGCUAGGAUAACAGACAUGUGUCACCACACCUGGCUAAUUUUUUUAUUUUUUGUAGAAAUGGGCUCUCCCUUUGUUGCCCAGGCUGGUCUCAAAUCCCUGGGCUCAAGCAGUCCUCCCGCCUUGGCUUCUCAAGGUGCUAGGAUUACAGGCGUGAGCUACUGCGCCAGGCCAUGCAUUCUUAAUAGGUGGGCAAGUUGUAUCUGUGAAAAGUUAAAGUAUUCACACUCUUGAACAUCUAGGAAUCUGUGCUACGGAAACAAGUGCACAGAUACAUACACACCAGGGUGUCCGUUCUAGUAUCAUUCAUAAUAGUGGAAACUGAGAAACAACUCAGAUACCCCUCAUAGGGACAGUGGGGAAGAUGGGAUGUCUGUGGCUCCAUUAAAAUCAUGUGAGGGCUGCCACACCACCCAUUCCCCUUCUCUGCUGUCUUCCCCAGGCAGAUAGCAGAGACACGGGACUCUUCUGGGGACACAUGCACGCCUCCACGCUGCAAUAAAGCACUGGCGAGGAGAGCCCGGGCAUGUCGGUGAUGGACGCAGGCACCAUCUGCCGGUGCAGGGUCAGAGAGACGCACGAGGACUUGAAGGAGCCUCUCAAGAAGGUGAUGUGCACCACGUCCCUAGCAGAGGAGCAGAGAGGGCUGAGUAACCCAGCAGCGCCCCCUGCCACCUCCCCGUGGGGCUCUCCCUCUGCCUCUGGCUCCGGGCUGCCCAUUGGUGCGGACACUGGACACUGAACUCCCUGUUUUGGGAUUCAUUUGGCAGGGUCUCUCAUAGUGUCCCCAGUGUGUCCGGCAAGCACCCCAGCAAUUCCACACCCAGGGACGUACUCCAUGGAGGCAGGGCCUCAGCUCACAGAGCUGGGGGACAGUCCGGGGCCCUGGCACUUUUGCUCUUGUCCCCUGCCUCCAUAGAAACAUGAAAACCCAGAUUUUACAACUGCGUUGGUAUAAAGAUGAAUAUGACCCAGGCUGGAUUCCUUGCUAUAUGUUGGGUUUUUUGUUUUGUUUUGUUUGGGUUUUUUUUUAGAUGGAGUUUCACUCUUGUCACCUAGGCUGGAGUGCAGUGGCACAAUCUCGGCUCACUGCAACCUCCACCUCCCGGGUUCCAGCAUUUCUUCUGUCUCAGCCUCCUGAGUAGCUGGGACUACAGGCGCACCCCACCAUGCCCAGCUAAUUUUUUUUCUAUUUUUAGUAGAGACGGGGUUUCGCUCUGUUGGCCAGGCUGGUCUCGAACACCUGACUUCAAGUGAUCCACCCACCUCAGCCUCCCAAACUGCUGGGAUUACAGGUGUGAACCACCGUGUCCGGCCUGGAUUCUUUGUUAUAUGUUUUUGUUUUGUUUUUGAGACAGGGUCUCACUCUGUCACCCAGGCUGAAGUGCAGUGGCGAGAUCUCAGCUCACUGCAACAACCUCUGCCUCCCGGGCUCGAGCGAUCCUCCUGCCUCAGCCUCCCCAGUAGCUGGGAACACAGGCAUGCACCACUACACCCAGCUAAUUUUUUGUAUUUUUCGUAGAGACAGGGGUUUCGCCAUGUUACCCAGGCUAGACUAGAACUCCUGAGCUCAAGUGAUCUACCCGCCUCAGCCCCCCAAAGUGCUGGGAUUAUAGGCAUGAGCCACCGCCCCGGCCAGUGUUAUGUAUUUACUUUUGUCUUCUGAUUUUAAAGUAAGUUAGAAUGAAAAAUUUAAAGGUGACCAUUGUCUUUAGGAAUUUUUUUUUUUAUGUAGAAUGAAAACUUUUUUCUGGAACCCUAAAAGUGUCGUGGGUCCUGGGGGCUACGCCUCCUGUG